GUUGUAUAGUCAAGUAAUUAAGUGCAUGUGGUGGAUGCCUUGGCAGUCAGAGGCGAUGAAAGACGUGAUAGCCUGCGAAAAGCUCCGGGGAGGCGGCAAAUAUCCUUUGAUCCGGAGAUGUCUGAAUGGGGGAACCCACCUACUUUAAGGUAGGUAUUGCAACAUGAAUACAUAGUGUUGCAAGGCGAACGAGGGGAAGUGAAACAUCUCAGUACCCUUAGGAAAAGAAAUCAAUUGAGAUUCCCUCAGUAGCGGCGAGCGAACGGGGAUCAGCCCAUUAAGUUAUGUGUGUUUUAGUGGAACGCUCUGGGAAGUGCGAACGUAGAGGGUGAUAUUCCCGUACACGAAAGGGCACACAUAAUGAUGACGAGUAGGGCGAGGCACGUGAAACCUUGUCUGAAUAUGGGGGGACCAUCCUCCAAGGCUAAAUACUCCUGACUGACCGAUAGUGAACCAGUACCGUGAGGGAAAGGCGAAAAGAACCCCUGUGAGGGGAGUGAAAUAGAUCCUGAAACCGCAUGCAUACAAGCAGUGGGAGCACCUUCGUGGUGUGACUGCGUACCUUUUGUAUAAUGGGUCAGCGACUUAUAUUCAGUAGCGAGGUUAACCGUAUAGGGGAGCCGUAGAGAAAUCGAGUCUUAAUAGGGCGUUUAGUUGCUGGGUAUAGACCCGAAACCAGGCGAUCUAUCCAUGAGCAGGUUGAAGGUUGGGUAACACUAACUGGAGGACCGAACCCACUGUCGUUGAAAAGCC
Molecule: ribosomal RNA, 753 nt
Filed under: Acinetobacter baumannii
Lineage: Bacteria; Pseudomonadati; Pseudomonadota; Gammaproteobacteria; Moraxellales; Moraxellaceae
Description: partial 23S ribosomal RNA
Rfam family: Bacterial large subunit ribosomal RNA
Source: RNAcentral